UUGACCUCAAAUCAAGCAAGACUACCCGCUGAACUUAAGCAUAUCAAUAAGCGGAGGAAAAGAAACUAACAAGGAUUCCCCUAGUAACUGCGAGUGAAGCGGGAAAAGCUCAAAUUUAAAAUCUGGUAGUGCUUCACUGCCCGAGUUGUAAUCUAGAGAAGUGUUGCUCACACUGGACCAUGUAUA
RNAcentral lists this ribosomal RNA (186 nucleotides) under Amanita hemibapha. RNAcentral's name for it is "partial 28S ribosomal RNA". It matches the Rfam family "Eukaryotic large subunit ribosomal RNA", at positions 1 to 183 of the family's 3401-position model. The record is from RNAcentral. Lineage: Eukaryota; Fungi; Basidiomycota; Agaricomycetes; Agaricales; Amanitaceae.